RNAcentral lists this ribosomal RNA (481 nucleotides) under uncultured bacterium. Its description in RNAcentral is "bacterial SSU rRNA". It matches the Rfam family "Bacterial small subunit ribosomal RNA", at positions 329 to 803 of the family's 1533-position model. The record is from RNAcentral.
UGGCUAACUCCUACGGGAGGCAGCAGUGGGGAAUAUUGGACAAUGGGCGAAAGCCUGAUCCAGCCAUGCUGCGUGUGUGAAGAAGGUCUUCGGAUUGUAAAGCACUUUACGUUGGGAGGAAGGGUUGUAGGCUAAUACCCUGCAAUUUUGACGUUACCAACAGAAUAAGCACCGGCUAACUUCGUGCCAGCAGCCGCGGUAAUACGAAGGGUGCAAGCGUUAAUCGGAAUUACUGGGCGUAAAGCGCGCGUAGGUGGUUCAGCAAGUUGGAUGUGAAAGCCCCGGGCUCAACCUGGGAACUGCAUCCAAAACUACUGAGCUAGAGUACGGUAGAGGGUGGUGGAAUUUCCUGUGUAGCGGUGAAAUGCGUAGAUAUAGGAAGGAACACCAGUGGCGAAGGCGACCACCUGGACUGAUACUGACACUGAGGUGCGAAAGCGUGGGGAGCAAACAGGAUUAGAUACCCGUGUAGUCCAGCUGG